GCCAGCUUGGCGCAGUGGUAACGCGUAGCACUUGUACUAAACGACAUGCUAAGAUCGCUCGUUCGAUUCGGGCAGUUGGCA
Non-coding RNA from Phaeosphaeria sp. MPI-PUGE-AT-0046c, 81 nucleotides. Lineage: Eukaryota; Fungi; Ascomycota; Dothideomycetes; Pleosporales; Phaeosphaeriaceae. The record is from the annotation of a GenBank genome assembly.